UCCCUGGUGGCUCAGACAGUAAAGCAUAUGCCUGCAAUGCAGGAGAUCCGGGUUUGAUUCCUGGGUUGGGAA
Molecule: transfer RNA, 72 nt
Filed under: Ovis aries (sheep)
Lineage: Eukaryota; Metazoa; Chordata; Mammalia; Artiodactyla; Bovidae
Rfam family: tRNA
About the family: Transfer RNA (tRNA) molecules are approximately 80 nucleotides in length. Their secondary structure includes four short double-helical elements and three loops (D, anti-codon, and T loops).
Source: Rfam by way of RNAcentral